RNAcentral lists this ribosomal RNA (661 nucleotides) under uncultured bacterium. RNAcentral's name for it is "bacterial SSU rRNA". It matches the Rfam family "Bacterial small subunit ribosomal RNA", at positions 222 to 883 of the family's 1533-position model. The record is from RNAcentral.
AGGAUGGGCAUGCGUGAUAUUAGGUAGUUGGCGGGGCAACGGCCCACCAAGCCCACGAUAUCUAGGGGUUCUGAGAGGAAGGUCCCCCACAUUGGUACUGAGACACGGACCAAACUCCUACGGGAGGCAGCAGUGAGGAAUAUUGGUCAAUGGACGAGAGUCUGAACCAGCCAAGUCGCGUGAAGGAAGACGGAUCUAUGGUUUGUAAACUUCUUUAGUGCGGGAACAAAGCGGCGUCGUGACGCCUGAUGAGUGUACCGCAAGAAUAAGCAUCGGCUAACUCCGUGCCAGCAGCCGCGGUAAUACGGAGGAUGCGAGCGUUAUCCGGAUUUAUUGGGUUUAAAGGGAGCGCAGGCUGCGAGGCAAGUCAGCGGUCAAAUGUCGGGGCUCAACCCCGGCCUGCCGUUGAAACUGUUUUGCUAGAGUUCGAGUGAGGUAUGCGGAAUGCGUUGUGUAGCGGUGAAAUGCAUAGAUAUGACGCAGAACUCCGAUUGCGAAGGCAGCAUACCAACUCGCGACUGACGCUGAGGCUCGAAAGCGUGGGUAUCGAACAGGAUUAGAUACCCUGGUAGUCCACGCAGUAAACGAUGAAUACUAACUGUUCGGAGGGCGACCUCUGAGUGGUAAAGCGAAAGCGUUAAGUAUUCCACCUGGGGAGUAC